GACGAACGCUGGCGGCGUGCCUAAUACAUGCAAGUAGAACGCACAGUUUAUACCGUAGCUUGCUACACCAUAGACUGUGAGUUGCGAACGGGUGAGUAACGCGUAGGUAACCUGCCUGGUAGCGGGGGAUAACUAUUGGUAACGAUAGCUAAUACCGCAUAAUAUUUAUUAUUUCAUGAUAAUUAAUUGAAAGGUGCAAUUGCACCACUACCAGAUGGACCUUCGUUGUAUUAGCUAGUAGGUGAGGUAACGGCUCACCUCGGCGACGAUACAUAGCCGACCUGAGAGGGUGAUCGGCCACACUGGGACGGAGACAAGGCCCAGACUCCUACGGGAGGCAGCAGUAGGGAAUCUUCGGCAAUGGACGAAAGUCUGACCGAGCAACGCCGCGUGAGGGAAGAAGGUUUUCGGAUCGGAAAGAUCUGUUGUAAGAGAAGAACGGGUGUGAGAGUGGAAAGUUCAAACUGUGACGGUAUCUUACCAGAAAGGGACGGCUAACUACGUG
Molecule: ribosomal RNA, 505 nt
Filed under: uncultured bacterium
Lineage: Bacteria
Description: partial 16S ribosomal RNA
Rfam family: Bacterial small subunit ribosomal RNA
Source: RNAcentral